RNAcentral lists this ribosomal RNA (2382 nucleotides) under Colletotrichum sp. MD-1. Its description in RNAcentral is "SSU rRNA". It matches the Rfam family "Eukaryotic small subunit ribosomal RNA". Lineage: Eukaryota; Fungi; Ascomycota; Sordariomycetes; Glomerellales; Glomerellaceae. The record is from RNAcentral.
GAUCCUGCCAGUAGUCAUAUGCUUGUCUCAAAGAUUAAGCCAUGCAUGUCUAAGUAUAAGCAAUUAUACAGCGAAACUGCGAAUGGCUCAUUAUAUAAGUUAUCGUUUAUUUGAUAGUACCUUACUACUUGGAUAACCGUGGUAAUUCUAGAGCUAAUACAUGCUAAAAAUCCCGACUUACGAAGGGAUGUAUUUAUUAGAUUAAAAACCAAUGCCCUUCGGGGCUCACUGGUGAUUCAUAAUAACUUCUCGAAUCGCAUGGCCUUGCGCCGGCGAUGGUUCAUUCAAAUUUCUUCCCUAUCAACUUUCGAUGCUAGAGUAGUGUUCUAGCAUGGUUACAACGGGUAACGGAGGGUUAGGGCUCGACCCCGGAGAAGGAGCCUGAGAAACGGCUACUACAUCCAAGGAAGGCAGCAGGCGCGCAAAUUACCCAAUCCCGACACGGGGAGGUAGUGACGAUAAAUACUGAUACAGGGCUCUUUUGGGUCUUGUAAUUGGAAUGAGUACAAUUUAAAUCCCUUAACGAGGAACAAUUGGAGGGCAAGUCUGGUGCCAGCAGCCGCGGUAAUUCCAGCUCCAAUAGCGUAUAUUAAAGUUGUUGUGGUUAAAAAGCUCGUAGUAGAACCUUGGGCCUGGCUGGCCGGUCCGCCUCACCGCGUGCACUGGUCCGGCCGGGCCUUUCCCCCUGUGGAACCUCAUGCCCUUCACUGGGUGUGUGGGAAAACAGGACUUUUACUUUGAAAAAAUUAGAGUGCUCCAGGCAGGCCUAUGCUCGAAUACAUUAGCAUGGAAUAAUAGAAUAGGACGUGUGGUUCUAUUUUGUUGGUUUCUAGGACCGCCGUAAUGAUUAAUAGGGACAGUCGGGGGCAUCAGUAUUCAAUUGUCAGAGGUGAAAUUCUUGGAUUUAUUGAAGACUAACUACUGCGAAAGCAUUUGCCAAGGAUGUUUUCAUUUAUCAGGAACGAAAGUUAGGGGAUCGAAGACGAUCAGAUACCGUCGUAGUCUUAACCAUAAACUAUGCCGACUAGGGAUCGGACGAUGUUAUUUUUUGACUCGUUCGGCACCUUACGAGAAAUCAAAGUGCUUGGGCUCCAGGGGGAGUAUGGUCGCAAGGCUGAAACUUAAAGAAAUUGACGGAAGGGCACCACCAGGGGUAAACAGAAGCCGUUUCGCUCUGCCCUACACAGCGAGCCCGUCAAGGGUUUGGUGGUGCUGCACACAAUCGCUAGUCACCUCUCCGGUGGCGACAUCCUCAAAUUGCGGGAAACCCUCCAAGGGCGACACUACCAAGCAGGGCUCGAGAGAGCUACCCUGUGGCGGCGGAGUAACUACCGUCGGUAUGGUAAGAACGUGUCCGCCUAAGAGGCCACUCGCAGCCAAGCUCCCCCUAACCCGGGGAGAAGGUCCAGAGACUCGACGGGGAUGGGUCGGGCUACCGCAGCCCCGCCUAAGAUAGAGUCCGUACCCGCUAGAGAUAGCCGGGAAUCGAAAACUUACGCCGGCCCCCCAGCCGGCGGCAAGCUACCCUGAAAGGGAGCCUGCGGCUUAAUUUGACUCAACACGGGGAAACUCACCAGGUCCAGACACAAUGAGGAUUGACAGAUUGAGAGCUCUUUCUUGAUUUUGUGGGUGGUGGUGCAUGGCCGUUCUUAGUUGGUGGAGUGAUUUGUCUGCUUAAUUGCGAUAACGAACGAGACCUUAACCUGCUAACUAGCCCGUAUUGCUUUGGCAGUACGCUGGCUUCUUAGAGGGACUAUCGGCUCAAGCCGAUGGAAGUUUGAGGCAAUAACAGGUCUGUGAUGCCCUUAGAUGUUCUGGGCCGCACGCGCGUUACACUGACAGAGCCAGCGAGUACUUCCUUGACUUAAAAGUCCGGGUAAUCUUGUUAAACUCUGUCGUGCUGGGGAUAGAGCAUUGCAAUUAUUGCUCUUCAACGAGGAAUCCCUAGUAAGCGCAAGUCAUCAGCUUGCGUUGAUUACGUCCCUGCCCUUUGUACACACCGCCCGUCGCUACUACCGAUUGAAUGGCUCAGUGAGGCUUUCGGACUGAUCUAAGGGAGGAGGCAACUCUUCCCCCUGGUCGGAAAGUUAUCCAAACUCGGUCAUUUAGAGGAAGUAAAAGUCGUAACAAGGUCUCCGUUGGUGAACCAGCGGAGGGAUCAUUACUGAGUUUACGCUCUACAACCCUUUGUGAACAUACCUACAACUGUUGCUUCGGCGGGUAGGGUCUCCGCGACCCUCCCGGCCUCCCGCCUCCGGGCGGGUCGGCGCCCGCCGGAGGAUAACCAAACUCUGAUUUAACGACGUUUCUUCUGAGUGGUACAAGCAAAUAAUCAAAACUUUUAACAACGGAUCUCUUGGUUCUGGCAUCGAUGAAGAACGC